RNAcentral lists this long non-coding RNA (5604 nucleotides) under Triticum aestivum (bread wheat). RNAcentral describes it as "long non-coding RNA (TAES_LNC005968)". The record is from RNAcentral. Lineage: Eukaryota; Viridiplantae; Streptophyta; Magnoliopsida; Poales; Poaceae.
AAAACAGCAUAGGGAGAUUAAGAUUGAAAUCACUCUCUUUUUGGUAUUUUUGUUAUACUUUGGGAACUACAAUACUGGCACAGGCAACCAUCAACAACAAGGAGAACUACAGCACAUCAGAAAACAUAUAUACAUCAAACAUGUAAGAAAAGUGUAAUAGCAAGAUCAUAGGACAUAAUAGAAGUACUUCUCAUCACAAACACACAUAUACUUGAGCUAACACAAGGACUACAAAAUGGAACAAGUUCAUAUGGAUGAACACAAACACAUGCUAGCAGAUUACUAACUCAGAAAGAAAAAUCACAUAGACCGAAUAUUAAAUGUACACUAUAGUUACAAGUACGAAACAAAACAAACAGCAGGUUGCAAGUACUCUUAAAAUCUGAACCUUACAAAGUAUUACAUAUCUCAAUUUUACAAAAAUUAGGUGUUUGGAACAAUACACAAGGUUCACCUACAAGUUUCAGAAAUUUGCAAAAAGUAAAGAGAGAAGAGGAGCGGCACCUGUUUGGGUUCAGAGAAGAAGCGCAGAAUAGGAGGUAAAGAAAAGGAGCAGCAGCGUGAGGGCUUUGAGAGGAGUAGCAGCAGGGGCGUGAGAGGAGCAGCAGAGAGAGUUGAGGAAAAGGAUCAACAGUAGGGGUUCAGAGGAGAAGGCAACAACAAUGGGGGUCAGAGAAGAGAAGCAGCAGCAAGACGUGGGAGAAGGAGCAGCAGGGGCAUCUGGGUGAGAGAAGCAGCAGAGAGGGUUGAGGGCGAACAGCAGCAGGUUGAAGAAGAGAGGUGGAGGAUGGCGUGGGGCACCAGACAACCACGACCUCUAGUCUUGUAGGGCGCGCGAGGUGAUGGUGGCUGGAUGUGAUGGCGCCUGGUGGAUGGAUGGGUUGCGGUAGCGCGGGUGGAGGUGCUGCAGCGUUGUGGAGUGGGUGGAGGUACUGGGUGGCACGCCGCCAUGCUGGCCUGGCCGCGGUGACGGCCAGAGGUGGAGAAGAAGGUUGGGGGAGAGGGAUAUGUAGCCAGGCCCAAAGGGGAUCGAUGGUUGCCGCUAGGGAUUUGAUCCCCUCCUCUGAUCUGCCAGUUUUGCUCUUUUGCCCUUCCACUUCUCUUCUCUCUUCACAAGAUGAUCCCUCCAACUUUAUCUUGAUCCCUCUGGUUACUUCUUUUCUUCACGGUUGGGUCCCUCCGUAAGUUACAGCAACCAUAGUUUCUUGACACUCUCUAUUAUAGAAGGAUUUUGGGCCUUUUCGCCCUUUUCUGCAAAACAUGGAGGAGUGUUGUAAAUGUAGCAUAAUGGGGGUAUUUGAAUAUUUCUGAAGUAAAAAAUGUGAAAAUAUGAUUACAAUGUGGUGCAAAAAGGAUAAAAAGAUUAUAUGAGGAAAUGCUCUAUCAAGUUCCCCCGCACUUAAAUCUUUGCUUGUCCUCAAGCAAAGGAAUAUGACAAGAGCAAGAUUGUGAACAGUGAGCUGACUAGAGAAUGCCAAGUGAAGUAGAUCUCCAAACAAAGCAUGCUUUGAACCUAGCUAGUGAAAAUUAAUGGUUAGGAGUGCUUCAAAGUGGUAGGAUAUUAGUAGACUUGACCAUUUUAAACUUUUACAAUGAUAAAAGAAGAUCAACUAGUUCAAAUGAUGAUUGUGCCGAAGGUUCCUAAAGAGAGCAUGAUCCCGAGAACAAAAAGAACAUACACUUGUGAUCAGAUCACUUAUUUACAGAAAUAAAGCAAUGAUAAUAUUUUAUCGAUCUCACCAAAGGAACAUACCACCGAUCCCGAGAACAUGGAAUAUACCCGGCUCGACCAAUUAUUAGUUUUUUUGUUUGCCUCCCCAAAGGAACAUACCACCGAUCCAGAGCACAUGGUAUACACCUGGUUUGACAAUUACAAUUUUUAUUAUUAGUUACUGCCCAAGCUAACCCGAUUUCACAUGCCACCGAUCCAGGGAACAUGACAUGCUACUGUAGGUAGUCAGACUUAUCAUUCAUUAUAAGAUUUACUUUUUUUAAAAAUGAACAACGCAUAAGCACAAAAACAGGAAUCCUCACUUCUUCAUGUCUGGUUCACAUGCUACCGAUCCAGGGAACAUAGCAUGCUAAUCCAUAGUGGUUAGGUGAUUGCUCUCAAUGGGAACACACUUAGCACAAAUUCAGCAUCUAAACAUGGUGAUCUAGGUGUAUCAUAGUAAAUGCAGAAAAUGACGAAGUUUUCUAGUGUACUAGGGAUUUGAGCACUCAAAACUAAUAGUUCUCACUAAUUUCAGCCAAGCACGCAUGGUGUAGAUCACUAGUUUACAAGGCAUUUAGAAAUCAAGUUCAAAAAUUCACAUCAAGCACGAUGCCAAAGGUGAAUUUCAGCUUGACAACAAGUAAUAACUGGCUCAAGCAACCCAACUAGCAAUUGAUUUCAGCUUGUAUCAAUAGAUGAUAUAUUCAGAUUGGGGUCAUGAAACAGCUCACCAGGCUUUAUGAAGUAGAACUCGCUCGAUCAUCUCACAUCCUCUUGCAUUGUGACUCCUCUCCUUUUGCUUCUCUAUCCUCAUGCUCUCUAUCCUCGUGCAUGCUCCAGCUUUUCUCUUCCUUGUAUGUGCCCAUUGCUUCUCCUUUUCACCAUGCUCUAAAUCCACCGGGGUCCCAAGGAAUGUCACCUCGAACCUGGUCAACAUGUAGUGAUUUGUGCACAAGCAAGAACUUGAAAGAGCACUCAACGAAAGAGACAAUGCAAGUGGUAGGGAUAAUACCCUCCAAGUCAUUAAUCGAAUAUCCAAUUACAUAAGCAUAGCUAUAAAGCACAUGUUUAGGAUGGUAGAAAUCAGCAAGGUCAACACUAACAUGAGGAUGAAACUUAUCAUUAAGCUCAAUACUAGCAUUGGAAUUAUAUGUUUCAUUAAGCAUAGGACUAGCACGAGGAAAGUAACUGUGAUCAUCACAAAUGAGAAUAAUACCACUAACAGGGUAUAUAUCAUCAUAUACAAGCAAAUACCUUUUCAAAUCUACUUUAACAGAUGGCAUCAUGCAAUGCAAGGUAGUAGCAAAGAAAUCACAAGGAUGCAUGUCAUUGAGAGGAUUGGAUAAACCUGACACAUCACGCUCAUGUAUGACAAUAGGCCAAUGAAUCUCAGCUUCUUCAUCUUCAUCUACAGUAGCUUCUUGUACUUCUUCAAGAGUAGUAGAUGAUGAGUCUUCAACUUGAUCACUUGGGAAUUGUAGCUCUUGAUCAUCUUGUUCCUUGUCUUCCAGUUCAUCUUCUUCAAUCUGAGGUAUCUCUUACUCAAGGCACUUGCUAUCUUGGUCAGCUAGAUGUGAUGGUAUUGGAACCUCACAUGUAUCAAGGGGAUUCCCAGAAUUACUCAGCUCAAGCUGUGAAGAAAUAGUACUGCCAGCGUUGAUGUUCUUCUCAAUCUUCUUUACUUCAUCCACUAGCUCAUUCCCACUCUUGAUCUUCUUCAUUUCCUCUAGUAUAACCUUCCUAAUAGGAUCAUCCUCAGCACUCCAAGUGAACUCGAGACUCAAAAGUGUGAGCUUGUCUAUGUCACCGAAUUCAUCUUGUGUGGGCACUUGCACAUGAGAUUGCUCGGCGGUUGCUGGAGUUGUUGGUUGACCAAAUGGAGGACCAUUUAACUCCAUUGGCAACAUCUCCUGGUGUUGAGGUAUAUGAGUAGGAGCUGAAUAAAUCUGUUGUCGAGCAUAGUUGUGGCUCUCCUCAUUGUACCUAAAUCCCUGUAUAUGAUUACUAGAAGCAAAUGGUGAGAUCUCAGGGUUGUUGCUCCUAUAUGACAUAUUCUGGUUCUCAGGCCACCCAUAUGAGUAAUUGUUUUGGUAUGAGCUAGGCUGUGGGGCGAAGCUCAUGCCAUAACAAUCAGGAGAGUGAGAGUAACCACGCUGACAUUCAGCGGGUGAAUGGCCCUGAAAUCCACAAAUAUGGUAUGUAGGAGCAACAUAAGGAUGACCUCUAGAAUAAGGAUCAUAAGAGCUAGGCCUAUCCUCAAAAACUACUUCUCGCUGCCGAGCUAAAUCAUCUAAUCGAUGGGAAAUCUUAUGAGUUCUUGAAUAGUUUCCGUGUUGUUUGCAGUGUUCCUCGCAUCUCCAAGACAAUCUGAAUAAUAUGCCAUAACCGAGUAGAUAGCUCUAACCUGCAAAAUGAAAAGAAAACAAAAAGAUACUAGCUAGAACAGGGGUUAGUGAUUAGAGAUAUAACACAAAUAUAUGGCACAAACUAGAAAAUGAAGAAAAACCUAGUCUAUAGCCUAACACAAUCGCUCGACGCUAGUCCUCAUCAACGGCGCCAAAAUGAUUAAUUGAAAGUACAGCGGGGUUUUUAUGCCCCAAGCUACGGAUGUCGUGUUCUCCACAGGGACUAGGCGACGGCAAUUAUGCUCGGCUAAAGCUAGGUAACACAAUUCUGAUUAUGAAUGCAAGAAAAAGCUAAACUAAACAAGGUUGACGACAAAGAAAAUGCAAAACAGCAUAGGGAGAUUAAGAUUGAAAUCACUCUCUUUUUGGUAUUUUUGUUAUACUUUGGGAACUACAAUACUGGCACAGGCAACCAUCAACAACAAGGAGAACUACAACACAUCAGAACAUAUAUAUACAUCAAACAUGUAAGAAAAGUGUAAUAGCAAGAUCAUAGGACAUAAUAGAAGUACUUCUCAUCACAAACACACAUAUACUUGAGCUAACACAAGGACUACAAAAUGGAACAAGUUCAUAUGGAUGAACACAAACACAUGCUAGCAGAUUACUAACUCAGAAAGAAAAAUCACAUAGACCAAAUAUUAAUUGUACAUUAUAGUUACAAGUACGAAACAAAAUAAACAGCAGGUUGCAAGUACUCUUAAAAUCUGAACCUUACAAAGUAUUACAUAUCUUAAUUUUAGAGAAAUUAGGUGUUUAGAACAAUACACAAGGUUCACCUACAAGUUUCAGAAAUUUGCAAAAAGUAAAGAGAGAAGAGGAGCGUCACCAGUUUGGGUUCAGAGAAGAAGCGCAGAAUAGGAGGUAAAUAAAAGGAGCAGCAGCGUGGGGGCUUUGAGAGGAGUAGCAGCAGGGGCGUGACCGCGUGAGAGGAGCAGCAGAGAGAGUUGAGGAAAAGGAUCAGCGGUAGGGGUUCAGAGGAAAAGGCAACAGCAAUGGGGGUCAGAGAAGAGAAGCAGCAGCAAGACGUGGGAGAAGGAGCAGCAGGGGCAUCCGGGUGAGAGAAGCAGCAGAGAGGGUUGAGGGCGAACAGCAGCAGGUUGAAGAAGAGAGGUGGAGAAUCGCGCGGGGCACCAAACAACCACGACCUCUAGUCUUGUAGGGCGCGCGAGGUGAUGGUGGCUGGAUGUGAUGGCGCCUGGUGGAUGGAUGGGUUGCGGUAGCGCGGGUGGAGGUGCUGCAGCGUUGUGGAGUGGGUGGAGGUACUAGGUGGCGCGCCGCCAUGCCGGCCUGGCCGCGGCGACGGCCAGAGGUGGAGAAGAAGGUUGGGGGAGAGGGAUAUGUAGCCAGGCCCAAAGGGGAUCGAUGGUUGCCGCUAGGGAUUUGAUCCCCUCCUCUGAUCUGCCAGUUUUGCUCUUUUGCCCUUCCACUUCUCUUCUCUCUUCACAAGAUGAUCCCUCCAACUUUAUCUUGACCCCUCUAGUU